This is a long non-coding RNA of Rosa chinensis, 1774 nucleotides long. RefSeq lists it as uncharacterized. NCBI's taxonomy places the organism in Eukaryota, Viridiplantae, Streptophyta, Magnoliopsida, Rosales, Rosaceae. The transcript has 5 exons. The record is from RefSeq and is a predicted model, not a curated record.
CGCUCAAUAUGCAGAGCUGAUGAUCCUACACCUACUACUAGUAUCCAGAGCUCACAAAUUUCACUUUCCUUCAUUUCUUCAAUCUUCGAUCCGCCUCUUUCUCUCUCUUCUCGACUCACUCCAAAGCUUCAUUAGGGUUCGUUCGAACACCGUACCGAAGGUUCUCCGAGCUGAGAGCUCAAAAAAUGAAGAGCAGAAAAAUCCUCAUUGUCGUCGAGGACCUGCGGACAUUCCGGUGCCAAACGCCGUCGUUUCAAAGCGAGCGAGGGCCGCCGCUGCUUCUGUGCCUACAAAAUCUUGGUGUAUCAUAAUCAAUUUAUUGACAUGCCUAUCCUGGUGUAUGUUGGUGUUCAUGUGGCUGUUAUAGCUGGUGUUGCCGUUGGACUUAUCUUUUUAUACUGCCAUCCGAUGGAAGUUGUGCAGAGAGAGAACGCGAUUGCUGAGAUUGCGGUUCUUGGCAACUAUCCUGCUCAUUAGGCAUGGUGCUUCUGAAUUGGGGCUUUGACUGCAAGUUGAAGACGAUUAGUUCCUUGUACAUUGUUGACUUCCCAGAACUGUUAUUUAACGUCGUGGUUGAUCAUGUACCUACUGCUUGUACUAAGUUCUAACUUAGUUGAUGAUACUUUAAUGGAAGUUUACUUCGGAUGACUGUAGUGCAGUAUUUGGCCGGAUAAUGGGUUUGUUAAAGGCUUAUGAAUUCACAGUUUGAUACCACGCAUUGCAGGAGAAAGUCUUUGUUUUUUGUUUUUGCCUUGUCUAACUUGGGUUUAUGUUAAGUUCAUGCUUUCACAGGGACCACUUCAAAAUUGACCGAGUUUCCAAUCUUGUGUUUGGUUACAAGCCCCAAACUUAUGUUUAAAAUUAGGGGUGGGUUCGGUUUGGUUUCGUGCACAAACCGAACUUGAACUUCAGUUCGGUUUGGAUUUUUAUUUUUAAAAAUUCAAAACUAAAAUUGAACCGGUUCAGUUCAGUUCGGGUUUUUUUGGCUUUUGUUAGACUUUCGGCUUGAUUUUUUUUGGUUUUUGGUUUCGCAAACUCACCCCUAAUUUAAACUAAAAUAUCUAUAUUCGCAUACUUAACUAAUAUGUUGGAAUGAUAAACACUUUUUUAUGUCGAGUAAAUAAUUCAUAGAAGCUCGUAACGUUAUGUUGAUACUGGUGUUUUCGUAGCCCCCAUAAUACGAGUAAAUAAUUCAUAGGAGCUAGAAGUCUUGUAGUAUAAUACUAUUCCGUUGGCCAAACACGACCAGUCGUUUUCAAACUCGUACCAAUAAAAGUCUUUACCGCGCACCUUACCUCUCUUUGCUUUUCUGUCAUUUGGGAUCCGAAAAUGGCAGGUGUAAUUGCAUCUGGAUCGAGCCGUCUCUCGAAGCUUCUCAGGCCUCCAUCCACCGACCUCAAGGCCGCCGCCAUGUGGGGCGUCGCCGCCGGCACCGGGGCUCUUUGGUUCGUCCAGCCCUUUGAUUGGUUGAAGAAGACAUUUCUGGAGAAGCCAGAGACCCAAGGGCAGUAAUUUAUGCUUUCACACGGAGCAAUUUUUUCAAGUUUUACCAAACCAAUCAGAGGAGGAGUCGAGGAGAUUCCAUUUGUCUCCAAUAAAAAUUGUUUCUAGUUUGUAGCUCUCCUUGUUGAGGCUUAGAAAUGUUGCAAGGACUUUAAUCUGUUUGCUAUUGGGUUUUUCUUUCAAUUUCCCAUAUUUUCUUUCACUUGCUAUAUAGUUAUCAAUGGAACAGUACUAAUUAGUUAUUUGAUAUUUUUCUUCUCUCUUUUGAUGA